GAGUUUGAUCAUGGUUCAGAUUGAACGCUGGCGGCAGGCCUAACACAUGCAAGUCGAGCGGCAGCGGGAAAGUAGCUUGCUACUUUUGCCGGCGAGCGGCGGACGGGUGAGUAAUGCCUGGGAAAUUGCCCAGUCGAGGGGGAUAACAGUUGGAAACGACUGCUAAUACCGCAUACGCCCUACGGGGGAAAGCAGGGGACCUUCGGGCCUUGCGCGAUUGGAUAUGCCCAGGUGGGAUUAGCUAGUUGGUGAGGUAAUGGCUCACCAAGGCGACGAUCCCUAGCUGGUCUGAGAGGAUGAUCAGCCACACUGGAACUGAGACACGGUCCAGACUCCUACGGGAGGCAGCAGUGGGGGAUAUUGCACAAUGGGGGAAACCCUGAUGCAGCCAUGCCGCGUGUGUGAAGAAGGC
RNAcentral lists this ribosomal RNA (412 nucleotides) under uncultured Aeromonas sp. Its description in RNAcentral is "bacterial SSU rRNA". It matches the Rfam family "Bacterial small subunit ribosomal RNA", at positions 9 to 415 of the family's 1533-position model. The record is from RNAcentral. Lineage: Bacteria; Pseudomonadati; Pseudomonadota; Gammaproteobacteria; Aeromonadales; Aeromonadaceae.